Molecule: non-coding RNA, 134 nt
Organism: Brachypodium distachyon (stiff brome)
Lineage: Eukaryota; Viridiplantae; Streptophyta; Magnoliopsida; Poales; Poaceae
Source: Rfam
UAUAUACUCCCUCUGUUCAAUAAAAGAUGUCUUAAAUUUGACUUAAUUUGAAUGCAUUUAUACACUAAGUCAUGUCUAGAUACAUUUAAAUUUGACAAACUUGAAAACAUUUUUUGUUGGACAGAGAGUAUGUU